AAAAAAAAAAAAAAAAAAAAAUCUAGAACCAAACAUCACCUGGGAGUUCUUACAUCUUGGGAUGGUAUUUUCACUUGCAUCCGAACUCUAUCUAAAACUGGCUGUAAACUUUCUAAAUGUGCAACAGGAUGAUCGACUGCACUAGCAUCAUCAGUAAGGGUGGGACAAUUACUUCCAUU
This 179-nucleotide non-coding RNA is filed under the name Chattonella subsalsa. The record is from RNAcentral. Lineage: Eukaryota; Raphidophyceae; Chattonellales; Chattonellaceae.